Molecule: RNA transcript, 1894 nt
Organism: Raphanus sativus (radish)
Lineage: Eukaryota; Viridiplantae; Streptophyta; Magnoliopsida; Brassicales; Brassicaceae
Exons: 6
Source: RefSeq, a predicted model, not a curated record
ACUUUUCACUUCAUCUUCUCCAAACUCUGUUUAUUUAUUUUUUUCCGUUUCUUAAAAGUUUUGCUCCGGCUCCCCUUAUACUCCCACCUCUAUAAAACUCUAUCUAUUAACCUAAAUCCAUUGGAAAUAAAAGAACCUACUAUGCAGAAACCACAAUAUCUUUGGGAUCCUAUUUACUUGCUCAAAAAUCUCUUACCCUAUAGCUAUGGUUUUUAUGACGAUGUUUAUAAGAAAAAACACCCGUAAUGAGAUCUUUAUUAAGCAAGAAAUUGUGAAGCUCACCAAUUUGGUAUUGAUGUCACCAAGUGCAACGAGUGGACAGGUGCGAGAUCACAUUGGAACAACUCCAAACCCUUAUCAGGAAGCUAUUAACCGGUUGUACAGGUCUGACAUCUUUUUGCACCCAUCAUUGAAAGAGCCAUGACGAUCGUGGAAGACAGGAGAUGUAUGGAGACUACUUGAAGCUCAAAUCAAGAGUUGAGAUCCUAGAACAUUCACAACGGUACUUAGCGUGAUUCACUACAUAUCUUUUUUUUUUUUUUGGUCAAAAGCUCUGAGGGUGGACAAGGAGAAUCGAGGAGAUGGGUUACGUGUUUGAUUUGAUGCAGAAGAGAAUAAUGAAGAGGGAUGCUACUACUUUCUUGACUGUGUUCAAGUGUCUCUCUGUGAGAGGCGAGUUGCGGCAAGCGCCUUAUGCGCUAAGGAAGAUGAGAGAGUCUGGUCUUUUCGCGUUGAAUGUGUAUUCGUUGAUUCAUCUCCUGGUCAAGUCUAGGUUCUGCACAGAGGCGAUGGAGGUUUACAGAAGCAUGGUCUCUGAUGGUUUUAGGCCUAGCUUGCAGACUUACUCUUCGCUUAUGGUAGGGUUAGGGAAGAGAAGAGAGAUUGGCGCUGUGAUGGGUUUGCUUAGAGAGAUGGAGACGUUGGGGUUAAAGCCUAAUGUCUACACGUUUACUAUAUCUAUCCGUGUGCUUGGUAGAGCGGGGAAGAUUGAUGAAGCGUAUGAUAUACUGAAGAGGAUGGAUGAUGAAGGAUGUGGACAUGAUGUGGUUAUCUACACUGUUCUUAUAGAUGCUCUUUGCACAGGUGGGAAGCUAGAUUGUGCUAAGGAGGUUUUCGCAAAGAUGAAGGCAUGGUGACACAAACCUACGGUUAAUCUAAUUAUGGAACCAAGAGUUGAAAACCCAGAUUGGAGACCCCUGCCAUAAUGCAUAAAUGGCUUGAUUUUUAACGAGGAAACCCAAACCAGUAAACACAUCAUGGCGAUAUUAGGAUUGAGAGGGAGUUAAUGACUUUCCUGGUGCUGGAGCUGCGAAGACAAGCCUCUGUCCUGUUGUGAACAGAGUUGUGACAACAAACACAAAAGGCUGUUGAUGGUGUGAACACAAAAGUCUGUUGAUGGUGUGGUCGAAAGAGAGUAGCUAAGACAGAUGCACCAACUGACCCCCUGUUGAUUCCAGAAACACUGGAGGAAGAACCGCAUAGAACAGUUGGGCCAUUGUCACUCCGCUAAGAAGACCCGCAUAAUAAGAUGCUACAACCUUUUUAAAAAUUCCAGAGGAGUCUGUAACACGGAGGCAUAAACUUUUUGUCUGUUCAAAAUCUGUGUUUAUUUUGAUCAGAGCUCCAACUCCAAGACCCUUCAGUCCAAAAAAAACACUCCAAGACCUCCUGUGCAGCACAGCCCUACGAGAUUCGAUACAACUACACUCAAUGGUAAACCACACACAUAAAAAGAGAAAUAAAGACGGCAAAGGCAAAUUAUGGUUGACAAAGACUUGUAGAAUAGGAAUAGUACUUUCCUCCAGACACAUCACUCUAUUGCUACCUUCUUUUGUGUACUGACUAGUGCUUGUUAGGCAUGUGGCUCUCACCUUUGAAAGCUUUUUGUUUCCCU